RNAcentral lists this ribosomal RNA (113 nucleotides) under uncultured Uronema sp. Its description in RNAcentral is "partial Bacterial small subunit ribosomal RNA". It matches the Rfam family "Bacterial small subunit ribosomal RNA", at positions 1 to 115 of the family's 1533-position model. Lineage: Eukaryota; Ciliophora; Oligohymenophorea; Philasterida; Uronematidae. The record is from RNAcentral.
CUGAAGAGUUUGAUCAUGGCUCAGAUUGAACGCUGGCGGCAGGCCUAACACAUGCAAGUCGAGCGGUAGAGAGAAGCUUGCUUCUCUUGAGAGCGGCGGACGGGUGAGUAAUG